RNAcentral lists this ribosomal RNA (504 nucleotides) under uncultured bacterium. Its description in RNAcentral is "partial 16S ribosomal RNA". It matches the Rfam family "Bacterial small subunit ribosomal RNA", at positions 899 to 1397 of the family's 1533-position model. The record is from RNAcentral.
ACUCAAAGGAAUUGACGGGGGCCCGCACAAGCGGUGGAGCAUGUGGUUCAAUUCGAUGCAGAGCGAAGAACCUUACCUGGGCUUGACAUGCAGGAAGUAGAAACCGGAAACGGCAACGACCUGUUAAGUCAGGAACCUGCACAGGUGGUGCAUGGCUGUCGUCAGCUCGUGCCGUGAGGUGUUGGGUUAAGUCCCGCAACGAGCGCAACCCUCACUCUAUGUUGCCAUCGGGUAAUGCCGGGCACUCUUAGGGAACUGCCGGCGAAGAGCUGGAGGAAGGGGGGGAUGACGUCAAGUCCGUAUGCCCCUUAUGUCCAGGGCUACACACAUGCUACAAUGGCCGAUACAGAGGGUUCCCAACCCGCGAGGGGGAGGCAAUCCCACAAAGUCGGUCUCAGUUCGGAUUGCAGGCUGCAACUCGCCUGCAUGAAGUCGGAAUCGCUAGUAAGCGCAGAUCAGCAGGCUGCGCUGAAUACGUUCCCGGGCCUUGUACACACCGCCCGU